UACGAAGGGGGCUAGCGUUGUUCGGAAUUACUGGGCGUAAAGCGCACGUAGGCGGGUUUGUAAGUAGGGGGUGAAAUCCCAGGGCUCAACCCUGGAACUGCCUUCUAAACUGCAAGCCUGGAGGUCAGGAGAGGCGAGUGGAAUACCGAGUGUAGAGGUGAAAUUCGUAGAUAUUCGGUGGAACACCAGUGGCGAAGGCGACUCGCUGGACUGAUACUGACGCUGAGGUGCGAAAGCGUGGGGAGCAAACAGGAUUAGAAACCCGUGUAGU
RNAcentral lists this ribosomal RNA (271 nucleotides) under uncultured bacterium. RNAcentral describes it as "partial 16S ribosomal RNA". It matches the Rfam family "Bacterial small subunit ribosomal RNA", at positions 524 to 794 of the family's 1533-position model. The record is from RNAcentral.